AAUUUGUUUUUUUUUCCCUCAUCCUGCCAGAGAGUUCAUAGUUAUCUUUGCUUGCAAUUAGGUGGUAUCUUUUGUGAAAACGUCAUGCAGUGUUUAUAAUUUGUUUUUAACCACUAAAGUAAAUAAAGAUGUGAUUAAUGCUUAAGUAAGGUAUCAGUCAUUCCCAAGCCCUCAUCUUUGGCCAGAUGAAAUGCCUCUGCCCAUGAAGUUUCACCUUGUUCUCUAGCCCAACAUAUUGCCCUCUCUUCUGUGGACUUUUCAUGCCAUUGCGCCAGCACAUUCUCAUGUUGCAGAGCAUGCUGGCCUUGUAUGACACUCACUGAUGUCUGUGGACAUUCCUCUACCUACAAGGUGAGCUCAUUGUGAGCAGGAUGUUUAUCUGCUCUACCCACUUCCUCAUCUCAGUGACUUGUACUUAUUUGGUCUCAGUAAAUGAAGUUUUUCUGGCCAUUAGCACAUUAUGUGCAUUCUAAUCACUUACUUGCCUGUA
This 490-nucleotide long non-coding RNA is filed under the name Pan troglodytes (chimpanzee). RNAcentral describes it as "long non-coding RNA NONPTRT011357". Lineage: Eukaryota; Metazoa; Chordata; Mammalia; Primates; Hominidae. The record is from RNAcentral.